GGGUUUGAUUCUGGCUCGUUGAACGCUGGCAGGAUGCUUUACAUGCAAGUCGAACGGCAGCACGGACUUCGGUCUGGUGGCGAGUGGCGAACGGGUGGGUAAUGUAUCGGAACGUGCCUAGUAGCGGGGGAUAACUACGAAAGCGUAGCUAAUACCGCAUACGCCCUUCGAAAGCGGGGACCUUCGGGCCUCGCACUAUUAGAGCAGCCGAUAUCGGAUUAGCUAGUUGGUGGGGUAACGGCUCACCAAGGCGACGAUCCGUAGCUGGUUUGAGAGGACGACCAGCCACACUGGGACUGAGACACGGCCCAGACUCUACGAGAGCAGCAGUGAAAUUUUGGACAAUGGGGAAACCCUGAUCAGCCAUCCCGCGUGUGCGAUGAAGGCCUUCGGGUUGUAAAGCACUUUGGCAGGAAAAGAAACGGCACGGGAUAAUACCCGUGCAACUGACGGCUACCUGCAGAAUGAAAGCACCGGCUAACUACGUGCCAACAGCCGCGGUAAUACGUAGGGUGCAAGCGUUAAUCGGAAUUACUGGGCGUAAAGCAUUAGCAGGCGGUUCGGGGGAAAAGAAGAUGUGAAAUCCCGGAAACAACUUUGGAACUGCAUUUUUAACUACCGAGCUAGAGAGUGUGUCAGGAGGUGGAGAUUCCCGCGUGUAGCAGUGAAAUGCGUAGAUAUGCGGAGGGAACACCGAUAGCAGUGACCCUCCUGGGAUAACACUGACGCUCAUGCACGAAAGCGUAGAGCAAACAGGAUUGAAUACCCUGGUAGUCCACGCCCUAAACGAUGUCAACUAGCUGGCCCCAGGGCCUUCGGGCCUUGGUAGCGCAGCUAACGCGUGAAGUUGACCGCCUGGGGAGUACGGUCGCAAGAUUAAACUCAAAGGAAUUGACGGGGACCCGCACAAGCGGUGGAUGAUGUGGAUUAAUUCGAUGCAACGCACGAAAAACCUUACCACGCUGACAUGUCUGGAAUCCCGAAGAGAUUUGGGAGUGCUCGCAAAGAGAACCGGAACACAGGUGCUGCACGUGGCUGUCGUCAGCUCGUGUCGUGAGAUGUUGGGUUAAGUCCGCAACGAGCGCAACCCUUGUCAUUAGUUGCUACGAGGAGCACUCUAAUAAGGACUGCCGGUGACAAACCGGAGGAAGGUGGGGAUGACGUCAGUCCUCGUAAGCCCGCUAUGGGUAGGGCUUCACGAUAUACAAUGGUCGGGACAGGGUCGCCAACCCGCGAGGGGGAGCCAAUCCCAGAAACCCGAUCAUCUAGUCCGGAUCGCAGUCUACGCUCGCUUCCGUGAAGUCGGGAUCGCUAGUAAUCGCGGAUCGUAUGUCGCGGUGAAUACGUUCCCGGGUCUUGUACACACCGCCCGUCACACCAUGGGAGUGGGGUUUCACCAGAAGUAGUUAGCCUAACCGUAAGGAGGGCGAUUACCACGGUAGGAUUCAUGACUGGGGUGAAGUCGUAACAAGGUAA
RNAcentral lists this ribosomal RNA (1476 nucleotides) under uncultured Bordetella sp. RNAcentral's name for it is "partial 16S-23S ribosomal RNA intergenic spacer". It matches the Rfam family "Bacterial small subunit ribosomal RNA". The record is from RNAcentral. Lineage: Bacteria; Pseudomonadati; Pseudomonadota; Betaproteobacteria; Burkholderiales; Alcaligenaceae.